AGUUCGGAUUGUAGUCUGCAACCCGACUACAUGAAGCUGGAAUCGCUAGUAAUCGCGGAUCAGAAUGCCGCGGUGAAUACGUUCCCGGGUCUUGUACACACCGCCCGUCACACCAUGGGAGUCGGAAAUGCCCGAAGUCGGUGACCUAACUGAAAGGAAGGAGCCGCCGAAGGCAGGUCUGGUGACUGGGGUGAAGUCGUAACAAGGUAAC
RNAcentral lists this ribosomal RNA (211 nucleotides) under uncultured bacterium. RNAcentral's name for it is "partial 16S ribosomal RNA". It matches the Rfam family "Bacterial small subunit ribosomal RNA", at positions 1290 to 1500 of the family's 1533-position model. The record is from RNAcentral.